GUCCACGCCGUAAAACGAUGGAUACUAGCUGGUUGGGGGCAACCUCAGUGGCUAAGCGAAAGUGAUAAGUAUCCCACCUGGGGAGUACGUUCGCAAGAAUGAAACUCAAAGGAAUUGACGGGGGCCCGCACAAGCGGUGGAGCAUGUGGUUUAAUUCGAUGAUACGCGAGGAACCUUACCAAGGCUUAAAUGUAGAUUGACCGGUUUGGAAACAGACUUUUCGCAAGACAAUUUACAAGGUGCUGCAUGGUUGUCGU
This 257-nucleotide ribosomal RNA is filed under the name uncultured bacterium. Its description in RNAcentral is "partial 16S ribosomal RNA". It matches the Rfam family "Bacterial small subunit ribosomal RNA", at positions 793 to 1055 of the family's 1533-position model. The record is from RNAcentral.